Molecule: ribosomal RNA, 253 nt
Filed under: uncultured bacterium
Lineage: Bacteria
Description: partial 16S ribosomal RNA
Rfam family: Bacterial small subunit ribosomal RNA
Source: RNAcentral
GACAUAGGUGGCGAACGUUAUCCGGAUUUAUUGGGCGUAAAGAGCGUGUAGGCGGCUAGAUAGGUCCGUUGUGAAAACUCGAGGCUCAACCUCGAGACGUCGAUGGAAACCAUCUGGCUAGAGUCCGGAAGAGGAGAGUGGAAUUCCUGGUGUAGCGGUGAAAUGCGCAGAUAUCAGGAAGAACACCCGUGGCGAAGGCGGCUCUCUGGUACGUGACUGACGCUGAGACGCGAAAGCGUGGGGAGCAAACAGG